Long non-coding RNA from Pogoniulus pusillus (Red-fronted tinkerbird), 697 nucleotides. RefSeq lists it as uncharacterized. The transcript has 3 exons. The record is from RefSeq and is a predicted model, not a curated record. NCBI's taxonomy places the organism in Eukaryota, Metazoa, Chordata, Aves, Piciformes, Lybiidae.
GCAGAAGAUCCUCCUGGGAUCAUCACUGGUGAGUGCCCCUGGGGCUCACUGGGUGACUGGUGGAGGGGAUCUAAAGGCCGGGGGGCCCUGCUGGCCCCCCGGUCAUGCAGGCUAGGUACAUGAUGGUCAUUUUGUCAUCACUCACAGGUGCUGGUUGGGUCUUGUUGCUUAGGAUGAGCUUCUUUGUGUUUAGCUGCUGCUUUCUGCUUGCUCCUGAUGAGCUGAAGUCCUUGGCAGAGCUGGAAGCUCUUGGGUCUGAAUGGUUUUUAUGGGUGGUGAGAUGCUCCACUGCUUGGAUCAAUGUGUUUCAUUUAAUGGGGGUCGUUGUGCUGCUUGGUAUGCAUGAGUUAAACCACCUUCGAAGCCCAUUCUUGCAGACAACCUCUGCGUGCCUCGCUUGUAGCUCUGAGCUGCUGAAGGUAUUUACAUACCAAAGGGCUCGCAGAGUCCAGUGUGGAUCACAGUGCAUGGAAACAACAGGCGUGAAACAAGAUUAAAAGAGCUGUGUGAGCAGAAACAUUGCUCAGCAGGGCGGAGAGGAGCAGGGUCACGUUAGUCUUUGCCAGCAGAGGGGAAGCUUGCAGCAGUCAGCCCUGAGUGGGGGUUCCUGUAAUGCAUUGUCUUUUGUGCACGAUGAGUUUGUAAAACCCUGUUUUGCUUCCUAAUAAAUGUGUGUAUAUAUAUUUUGAGCUUAAAA